Molecule: ribosomal RNA, 486 nt
Filed under: uncultured bacterium
Lineage: Bacteria
Description: partial 16S ribosomal RNA
Rfam family: Bacterial small subunit ribosomal RNA
Source: RNAcentral
GACGAACGCUGGCGGCGUGCUUAACACAUGCAAGUCGAACGGAAAGGCCCUGCUUUUGUGGGGUGCUCGAGUGGCGAACGGGUGAGUAACACGUGAGUAACCUGCCCUUGACUUUGGGAUAACUUCAGGAAACUGGGGCUAAUACCGGAUAGGAGCUCCUGCUGCAUGGUGGGGGUUGGAAAGUUUCGGCGGUUGGGGAUGGACUCGCGGCUUAUCAGCUUGUUGGUGGGGUAGUGGCUUACCAAGGCUUUGACGGGUAGCCGGCCUGAGAGGGUGACCGGCCACAUUGGGACUGAGAUACGGCCCAGACUCCUACGGGAGGCAGCAGUGGGGAAUAUUGCACAAUGGGCGGAAGCCUGAUGCAGCAACGCCGCGUGAGUGAUGAAGGUCUUCGGAUCGUAAAACUCUGUUAUUAGGGAAGAACAAAUGUGUAAGUAACUAUGCACGUCUUGACGGUACCUAAUCAGAAAGCCACGGCUAACUACG